Molecule: long non-coding RNA, 2527 nt
Organism: Homo sapiens (human)
Lineage: Eukaryota; Metazoa; Chordata; Mammalia; Primates; Hominidae
Gene: DCHS2-AS1
Product: DCHS2 antisense RNA 1
Exons: 4
Source: RefSeq, a predicted model, not a curated record
AAGCAACCUCUCUUGGUCAUCACCCUGAAGCCUUGGGGUGUACCUAUUUGUCUUAGUUCCCACUGGCAUGAUAGACCCAGGGAAGAGGCUUGAGGUGCUUUCAGUAAUUCAGAGGUACAGGGCACCCCGAGCCUGGUCUAGAAUGGAGGUGUGGGCUUCUUUGAAGUGCUGGUUGUGGUGACUCUUGCCUGGGGCCAUGGGUGGCACUAAGCUCAAACAUCCAUUUCUCCAAGUUUAAUCUUCCAGAUAAACUUUCAUACUUCUCUUUGAAGUACUUAAUAAGGAGAACUCAUUCAAAGUUUAAUGAGUUAUUGUUCAAACUGGUGGUAUAAGGUCUGACUCCAUUGCAAAAAAAUCAUUUCACAAGGGCGGAGCUGAAUCUUGUCUUGUUCACUUCUGUUUUUUCUGUUGUCCAAAACAGUGUCUGGCAAACAAAUGGUGCUCAUCAUAUAUUUGUUGAAUGGAUUAAUGAAAGGCCGCUGAGACUUCUAGAAAUAGUUUGGGUCUCUCAAAAAUAUUUUUAAAACUCUGCUUGGCUUUUUCUUAUAUAUCUGCAUUAUUAUCAACAUUAGCAGCUUCACAGACUAAAAGUUUAAAUAUCACAGAAGAUUUUCUAGCACUUUGGAUCUAAAGAUAAAGUCCUCAGUGGGAACUGCAGGGAUAAAGGAUUUAGGUAAGAUUCCCAGGCACAGGCCCAUACAAAUAUGUGUGGUGUAAAUCCUAUAACAGAAUACCAAUAUUAUAUACAGAACUUUUUCUUUGUGGCAAAUUACAAAGUUAGCAUUAAAAAAAUCAAACUGGAGGUGAAAAAAAUAACAUCUAUCCUUCACAGGACUGCGUGCAAUUCUACUUGGAGAUCUUCAUAACACCUUAAGGGAAAAAUCCUUUUUGAAAGAAAAACAAGUCUGGGUGGUGCUUGAAAAUUCAGAAGGCAGCUAGAAACUCUGCCAAUUACAACUGGUGAUUGCUGAGUUCUGGAGACAGACUGGGCUUCUGCUUUCUUUUGGUGGAGGUGUCUGCUUGCAGAAAAUUUAUGUUCUGGGAUUUACAACUUCAGGGAGACAAAGGAAACUCCAGCUCAUCUCCCACAUCAUUGAUUGAGAGGACCAUUUUCUGACUGUCUGCACACCACAGGUAUGAAGGACAGCUUUGGACCAGGGACUCAGAGGGAGGAUAACAAUAGCUGAAGAGUUUGAAAAGCAAGACAAGAGCACAGGUAUCCAAACUGCUGAGAAGUGACUCCACUUCUCAGCUAGCUAUGAAGGUGUGGUGGACAGGGACAGUCCUAACAGCCAGCUAAGAAUUCAGGAGAACACCUGAGGACAAGAUCUUGAUACAGUUAUUGGAACCACGGUACAAGAUGAGGUGUGACUAAGGGCAAGCCAGACCAGAGGCUAGUUACAGAAAAUGGGUGCAAAUCAUAGAGAAUGGGUAUUCCUAGCCUCCUAGGGUAGGGUAAUGAAGGGUCUAGGAGUCAGGGAAAUAAUUGCAGGAGGUUCUAUCUUUGACUGUGCCUGGGACUGGAAGAGAUCACUCAGCUUCUCUGAGGUUGUUCCAUGGAGCUUGCAAGUUUUCAAAGCACUCUUAGGCCCACUUUUAGAGGUUCAUAAAUACAAGACAGCUUCUUAGUUUUGAUUGCUUCUACCUUAUGCCAAGCAUAUGGUACUGAAAAAAUUAAACAGUAGACAUUUUUUACAAUAAUCAGUUGUAAAAAUAAUCGAUUGGUGAUAUUAAAAUGUUGUUUACCCGUAUUCAUCCUUCCACAUAGUGUAGUCUAACAGACGUCAUUUAACCUCAACACUUAAUCAUCUGCUCCUAAAACUCUGCUGCUCUUGUGGGGUAUUAUACUCCAUUAUUCUAAGACUAGGGAGUACUUGGAAGAGAAGAUCCAGAAGAGUGGCAUCAUAGUUGGGUAGGCUGGGCUACAUCUCAUGAAGAUGCAUUUAUAAGAACAAAACUCAUUUGAAGGGAAAAUAUAAAUGAUACCUACAUUAGCUGAUAAAUAGAAGCUAAUUAAGAGAUUUUCUGUAAAUUUUAAGUUUACAGACUCUUAGAAUCAGAAGGGAUCUUGGAAAUUACCACAUUGCCAAUUACUAAUUUUCAAUUGAAGAACCAGGUUUUAAGGUUGAGUGGGUUGCUGAAGGCCAGGAAGUUAGAGGAAAGGAAUAGGAUCUGUUUCCUCUCAUCCCAAUCAAUGCUCCUUCCGGGGACCUCCCUGGCUGGAGGAAAUGGGGUGGGGAUAAGAACCAGGAGGAGAGAUGUGUAGAUUACUCCUUUCUUCUCAAUGUCUGCCAUACAGAAGUCAUUUUGUCCAGUGGGGGAAUUGUAAGGAAAAAACCAUAUUUUAAAAUUCCCUAACAAAUAUGACAUCACAAGUCAGGUUUCUUCUCUAGAAUUUCUAGUUGUUUCUAAUGACAACCUUAUUUAAUAACUCCCAUAGCAUUAUUUUUACUUGUUUUCUAAGAAAAAUAAAGGUUUUGAAAGUAAUAUUUUUGAGUAGGAAAAAACUAGGAGAUCAAAAACUGAG